This 708-nucleotide unclassified non-coding RNA is filed under the name Sporobolus maritimus. Its description in RNAcentral is "partial external transcribed spacer". Lineage: Eukaryota; Viridiplantae; Streptophyta; Magnoliopsida; Poales; Poaceae. The record is from RNAcentral.
AGACCGGGUUAGGGCCCUGAACGGAAGGGUGCUAGAUUUGUCGGGAUGAAUGAUGGAAACGGACUUAUCCGGCCUCGGGGUUUGAGCGAGGCUUGGGUAGACCGGUAAGGGAAAACUCAAACACGAGUGGGCUGUCCGAUAAUGGGAAAUUGUCCGUGAACAAAAUUCGAUCUCAUAUUUCUGGUACCCAUCCAGGUGUGGUCGGGCUCAGAGAUGGUGGCAGAUUGGGAUAUUGCUAUUGACACGGGCCCCUCGUAUCAUGGCGGUCCUGAUGUUCUGUCCCAAGCGUAUACCGGGUUGCAGCGGUAUACGAAAAGUUGCCUUGAGGUCAUGACAAUGGCCUCCCCCUCCCCCUCUGAAAAUAGGGGCUCAGGAAUGACAUGACGUUACGUCGUGAACGUAGUGGUUCCUGAGGCUGCAAGACCGGGUUAGGGCCGUGAAUGGAAAGGUGCCAGAUUUGUGGGACGAAUGAUGGAAAUGGACUUGUCCUGGCCUCGGGUUUGAGCAAGGCCAGGUAGCUGGGUAAGGAAAAAUCUCAAACAUGAGUGGGCUGUCCGAUAACGGGAAAUGGCCGUGAACAGAAUUUGAUCACAUAUUUCCGGUAACUAACCAGAUGCGGUCGGGUUAUGAUGUUGCCGUGCUAUGCAGACCUUUGGUCAUCAUCCAUAACGUAGACUGAUCGUGUGCUGCAUGAUUGGAUGCUUGGAC